Carica papaya (papaya) is the source of this 1726-nucleotide RNA transcript. RefSeq lists it as uncharacterized. NCBI's taxonomy places the organism in Eukaryota, Viridiplantae, Streptophyta, Magnoliopsida, Brassicales, Caricaceae. The record is from RefSeq and is a predicted model, not a curated record.
UUUCCGACUCUGUAAAAUCGCCAUUGAUAUCUUCCUGGGUUUCUGUUGUUGUGGUCUUGUUUGACCGAAGAAGGAGAAGCUUUGUAAAGGGUAUUGAGGUUUUGCUUCUAUCUCAACUGGGUUCUGCUCAGCCAACAGAUUGAUCUCUUCUCUUCUGAAAAUUACCAGAUCAAGUAAAUUUUUAAAUUCGCCAUGGUUGAGCGUACCGUAAGUUUGGGGGUGGCUGGAGCUGAUUCAGCUCUGAAAGAAACGCUCCAAGCUCAACAAGAGCUUCUGCAAACGCUGUACACUGAGUUGGAUGUUGAAAGAGAAGCCUCGUCAAGUGCAGCAAGUGAAGCUCUAUCUAUGAUACUGAGGUUGCAAGGAGAGAAGGCCGCAUUGACAAUGGAAGCAAGUCAGUACAAGAGAAUGGCAGAGGAGAAGAUGUGUCAUGCCGAGACGUCUCUGGCGCUUUUUGAAGAGCUUAUAUACCAGAAAGAAAUGGAGAUUGCUUCUCUUGAGUUCCAGGUUCAAGCUUAUAGGUGCAAGCUUCUAAGCCUUGGUUGUUCUGAUCCGGGUGUGGGUGAAAAUAAAUUUCCUGAGAAUCUAAUGUUGCAGACAAAUGAUGCAUUGUUUGGAGAAACUGGUGCCGGAAGCAAUAUGGUCAGGAGACUCCAGUCUCUGCCUCCACUGCAAAUUGAUGACUCUAUGGACAAGAAAAUCACGGUAGGCAGUGACAAAUCUCUUUGCCCCAGCCCAGAUAUCAUCCCGGAUAAGGAAGUGAUUGAUCAAACCAUAGAUAUUUCAAAGAAGAGUUCAGACAUUUCUCCUGCUGGAGACUUGAAUUCGUAUUGGGAGCAGAUAAAGAAGUUGGACGAACGAGUUAGGGAAAUUUCAGAUUUUAAAGAUGCUCGAAUAGACAGAAAUCCAAUGGUAAAGCGCGACUCUAGAUCUCGUAUGCUGCUGUCACAUGUGAGCACUAGUAUCCUUGAAUCAACAAGAGAUGAAAUUGCAACAAACUUGGAGAAAGUGAAGAACUUCGAGAGGUUUUCAAAGAGCGAAGCAUUUGAUAAUCCUGCUUCUUCCUCUAAUGUGUAUGAUAUAUUUGAAGUCCCACAAGCAGAGAAAAGAAACAAUUCUCUGGCAGUGGAGAAGAAAGGGCGAGAUAAAUCUGCUUUUAAAUUGGAAGACAGGCUGGGGAAACCAGAUUUAGCCACUGACGAUAUCUUUGAACCUCAUGUUAAAGAUGACACUGAAAGCUUAAAGACAGUGUUGCUUAGCACAAACAAUGAGAAGAGGCUUUCAUUUCCUAAACCACCAAGAGAUGGAGCCAGUGCUGAUCGUAAAAGGGAUCUUAUUCAUGCAACUAUUAAUAUUAGUGAAUACCAAUCUGAGUUGCAACAGUUGAACCGGAGAGUUCAGCAACUAGAAGGGAAAAGAACCACUACAAGGAACGAAAUCAAUGAAGAAGGUCAAGACGAGUUGAAUUUGUUGAAGGAAAUACGCGAGAAACUCAAUUCAAUUCAAUCUGAGAUGAGAAGUUGGAAGAUGAAGGAGAAAACUCCACCUAUAGAUGAUUCUUCCCUUCAUCUUGUCCAGGAGGCCAUGCUGUACUUUUGGCUCUAAGGAGCAACUAAACUAUCCCCGGUGGCUUAUAGAUGCAUGAUUGGUUAUUGCCAUUCACAGAACACAGGACUGUAUCAGCAAGACAUUGUUUCCGAGCCCGUUCCGCAGGAAGACGGCGAAU